UCUAACACGUGCGCGAGUCGCAGGGUGGUACGAAACCCGGAGGCGCAACGAAAGUGAACCGUUUCUUACGAAUCGGUAGGUGGGAUCCCGGACUCCUUCGCGGGACGAUGGGCGCACCACCGGCCUGUCUCGGCCGCGACGUCGGCGAGGCGGAGCAAGAGCGUACGCGUUGGGACCCGAAAGAUGGUGAACUAUGCCUGAGCAGGACGAAGCCAGAAGAAAUUCUGGUGGAGGUCCGCAGCGAUUCUGACGUGCAAAUCGAU
RNAcentral lists this ribosomal RNA (263 nucleotides) under Oxyptychus braziliensis. RNAcentral describes it as "partial 28S ribosomal RNA". It matches the Rfam family "Eukaryotic large subunit ribosomal RNA", at positions 674 to 902 of the family's 3401-position model. Lineage: Eukaryota; Metazoa; Annelida; Clitellata; Hirudinida; Hirudinidae. The record is from RNAcentral.